CAGGACUCGCAAGACUCCCGUAAACCACUGUGAACUUACCUACAACCCGUUGCCCUCGGCGGGUGCUCCGGGCGCGUCUUCGGGCGCUCCGGGGCGCUCCAGCCCGCCGGCGGCCCCUAAACUCUGCCUCUGUAACGUUGGCAUCUCCGAGCAGACUAUAAACGAGUCA
This 169-nucleotide unclassified non-coding RNA is filed under the name soil metagenome. RNAcentral's name for it is "partial internal transcribed spacer 1". The record is from RNAcentral.